RNAcentral lists this ribosomal RNA (466 nucleotides) under uncultured bacterium. RNAcentral's name for it is "partial 16S ribosomal RNA". It matches the Rfam family "Bacterial small subunit ribosomal RNA", at positions 28 to 507 of the family's 1533-position model. The record is from RNAcentral.
GAUGAACGCUGGCGGCGUGCUUAACACAUGCAAGUCGAACGGAAAGGCUCCUGCUUGCAGGGGUACUCGAGUGGCGAACGGGUGAGUAACACGUGGGUGAUCUGCCCUGCACUUCGGGAUAAGCCUGGGAAACUGGGUCUAAUACCGGAGAGGACGAUGGGUUGGAUGCCAUUGUUGAGAGUUUUUCGGUGUGGGAUGAGCUCGCUGCCUAUCAGCUUGUUGGUGGGGUAAUGGCCUACCAAGGCGUCGACGGGUAGCCGGCCUGAGAGGGUGUACGGCCACAUUGGGACUGAGAUAAGGCCCCGACUCCUACGGGUGGACGCAGGGGGGAAUCUUGCACCAGGGGCGCCAGCCGGAUGCAGCGACGCCGCGUGGGGGAUGACGGUCUUCGGGUUGUAAAAGCCUUUCACUAGGGACGAAGCGUUUUGUGACGGUACCUGGAGAAGAAGCACCGGCUAACUACGUG